RNAcentral lists this ribosomal RNA (1176 nucleotides) under Sphaerotilus natans. Its description in RNAcentral is "bacterial LSU rRNA". It matches the Rfam family "Bacterial large subunit ribosomal RNA", at positions 339 to 1525 of the family's 2925-position model. The record is from RNAcentral. Lineage: Bacteria; Pseudomonadati; Pseudomonadota; Betaproteobacteria; Burkholderiales; Sphaerotilaceae.
GGCAUGGAAAGGCCGGCCACAGUGGGUGAUAGCCCCGUAUGUGAAAAGACCUGUGUGGUACUGAGCUAGCGACAAGUAGGGCGGGACACGUGAAAUCCUGUCUGAAGAUGGGGGGACCAUCCUCCAAGGCUAAAUACUCGUAAUCGACCGAUAGUGAACCAGUACCGUGAGGGAAAGGCGAAAAGAACCCCGGGAGGGGAGUGAAAUAGAUCCUGAAACCGCAUGCAUACAAAAAGUCGGAGCCCUCCGGGGUGACGGCGUACCUUUUGUAUAAUGGGUCAGCGACUUACAUUCAGUGGCAAGCUUAACCGAAUAGGGUAGGCGCAGGGAAACCGAGUCCGAACAGGGCGUCUUCAGUCGCUGGGUGUAGACCCGAAACCAGGUGAUCUAUCCAUGGCCAGGAUGAAGGUGCGGUAACACGCACUGGAGGUCCGAACCGACUAGUGUUGCAAAACUAGCGGAUGAGCUGUGGAUAGGGGUGAAAGGCUAAACAAACCUGGAAAUAGCUGGUUCUCUCCGAAAACUAUUUAGGUAGUGCCUCAAGUAUUACCGUCGGGGGUAGAGCACUGUUUAGGCUAGGGGGUCAUGGCGACUUACCAAACCUAUGCAAACUCCGAAUACCGAUGAGUACAGCUUGGGAGACAGAGCACCGGGUGCUAACGUCCGGACUCAAGAGGGAAACAACCCAGACCGCCAGCUAAGGUCCCUAAAAUUGGCUAAGUGGGAAACGAAGUGGGAAGGCUAAAACAGUCAGGAUGUUGGCUUAGAAGCAGCCAUCAUUUAAAGAAAGCGUAAUAGCUCACUGAUCGAGUCGUCCUGCGCGGAAGAUGUAACGGGGCUCAAGCCAGUUACCGAAGCUGCGGAUGCACCGCAAGGUGCGUGGUAGGAGAGCGUUCUGUAAGCCUGUGAAGGUGUCUUGAGAAGGAUGCUGGAGGUAUCAGAAGUGCGAAUGCUGACAUGAGUAGCGUUAAAGGGGGUGAAAAGCCCCCUCGCCGUAAGCGCAAGGUUUCCUACGCAACGUUCAUCGGCGUAGGGUGAGUCGGCCCCUAAGGCGAGGCAGAGAUGCGUAGCUGAUGGGAAACAGGUGAAUAUUCCUGUACCGAUUGCAAGUGCGAUGUGGGGACGGAGAAGGUUAGCUCAGCCGGGUGUUGGAUGUCCCGGUUCAAGCGUGUAGUC